GCACCCAUAGAGCAGAAGUUAGCUCAUUCCUUUCACAGCAAUGGCGCAGUGGUUCACGGGAAAGACCUGGGUGCAAAUCCCAGUGGGUGCA
Non-coding RNA from Hypoxylon sp. FL0543, 91 nucleotides. The record is from the annotation of a GenBank genome assembly. NCBI's taxonomy places the organism in Eukaryota, Fungi, Ascomycota, Sordariomycetes, Xylariales, Hypoxylaceae.